Long non-coding RNA from Brassica napus (rape), 1392 nucleotides. RefSeq lists it as uncharacterized. NCBI's taxonomy places the organism in Eukaryota, Viridiplantae, Streptophyta, Magnoliopsida, Brassicales, Brassicaceae. The record is from RefSeq and is a predicted model, not a curated record. The transcript has 2 exons.
UCAUGUGCAGGAAAACACCUAGUUCAAUAUAUAUACACAAAAUUGAUUGGAAAUGAAUAAAAAAAUCUAAAGGAAAGAUAAUCCUUCUCUGGAAAAAAGACAAGACAAUCCAAGAGGAAACGAGUGUUCCAUAAAAUUGAAGAACAUUAAAUCCGCAUUCUCAACAACAACAACAACAAAAAAACUAAAUAUUCUAACUAAAAUAACAAAAUUAAUAAAAAAAUAUUGUGGAUAAUAAGACUCACACUAGAAAUUUGGUAGUGUUUGUAUUUGUAAAUUCUUUUUAAAAAAAAUAUUUGUGGAGACAAAAAACCUUACAACACAGAGAUGUCGAAGAUCUCAGAAAACAACUUAUUACACCACUAAAAGGAAAAGAGAGGAGAGAAGGAGACAACAGACAACAAACAACAACAAUGAGCGAUUAACUAUAAGAAUCAGUGAACGAAAAGACAAAAGUACAACUCUAGGAGAGAAUGAGCAUCAGUCGGGGAAGGAGAAUGAGAGAGCAUCCUGUCACGAAGCCCCCGGUCCACUUGCUUGAAGAAAGGCCCCGCUGGUAAGGAGACAUCCCUGAAAAUCUGAGCAUUGCGCUCACGCCAAAGGCUAUAUAUCACAGCCUGGAGAAUCAACUUCAUAAUGGGUCUAACCUGAGAUGGUAACUGUCCCUGAUAUUGCGAGAUCAUGUUGACCGCAGCUGGAAGGUCCAAAGGAGGAGCAGAGAUAAACCUUCCACAGUAACGGAUCCAAAUAUCAACGGCGUAAGGACAGCCAAAGAAGAGAUGGUUGCGUGACUAGAUGCCAUUAGCGCAUAAGACACAGUUUCCAGGGACAAAGAGACCCCAAAAAAUCAAGCGAUCCCUAGUUGGGAGCCUGCCAAGCACACACAUCCACGCAAUGAAAGAGCAACGCAGAACUUCUUCCUUGAAUUAAAUUACAUCAUACCAUACUACCUCAGGUGAUGAAAUUCUCAAUAUAUCCUAAGUUAUUUGAGACAAAUUUAUUAGCAAACCCACCAGAUUGAAUUCGCCACAGGUAGGUAUCGGCCACCUUUUCAACCGAUGGAACUGCACUAGAAGAUAAAACAAUUUGUAGGGUGGCUGCAUCCUCAGACCUUGCUGGAGGUAGGAACCAUUCACCAUUCCGGACAGCAUCAGAGACCGAGGCAGAAUCAUGAACCUGCAGCUGCCUAGAACCUGAUGAGAAUAGCAGAUAUAGCAGACCAAGUCUGUCCAAGACCGAGGCAUAUUUUUUAACGGUUGACUAAUUUAAUCUUCAACUUUUUGUAUUUAAUGGCUAGUUGGAAAAUAAAUUUGUCCCCAUAAUACUUGAGUAUUAAAUAUGCCGAUUGCAAACAUUUGAGAAAUAAAAAAUAAUAAUUUUUUCGUUAUGAUC